RNAcentral lists this ribosomal RNA (464 nucleotides) under uncultured bacterium. RNAcentral describes it as "partial 16S ribosomal RNA". It matches the Rfam family "Bacterial small subunit ribosomal RNA", at positions 28 to 507 of the family's 1533-position model. The record is from RNAcentral.
GACGAACGCUGGCGGCGUGCUUAACACAUGCAAGUCGAACGGUAAGGCCCUUUCGGGGGUACACGAGUGGCGCACGGGUGAGUAACACGUGGGUGAUCUGCCCUGCACUUUGGGAUAAGCCUGGGAAACUGGGUCUAAUACCGGAUAGGACUACGCGAUGCAUGUCGUGUGGUGGAAAGCUUUUGCGGUGUGGGAUGGGCCCGCGGCCUAUCAGCUUGUUGGUGGGGUGAUGGCCUACCAAGGCGACGACGGGUAGCCGGCCUGAGAGGGUGGCCGGCCACACUGGGACUGAGGUACGGCCCAGACUCCUACGGGAGGCAGCAGUGGGGAAUAUUGCCCAAUGGGCGCAAGCCUGAUGCAGCGACGCCGCGUGGGGGAUGACGGCCUUCGGGUUGUAAACCCCUUUCAGCACAGACGAAGCGUAAGUGACGGUAUGUGCAGAAGAAGCACCGGCCAACUACGUG